Molecule: unclassified non-coding RNA, 1877 nt
Filed under: Hevea brasiliensis (rubber tree)
Lineage: Eukaryota; Viridiplantae; Streptophyta; Magnoliopsida; Malpighiales; Euphorbiaceae
Source: RNAcentral
GGGAUGUAAAUGUAGUCGAGGGACCAGUUGAUUCAAAAACGAAAGAUUCAAAAACGAAGACUAAGAUCCAUGGCACAAAAUGCAAAAACCAACCAUAUUGGAAAACGGAAUGGAAGAUACACUCCUGACUCUAAUGUUCCCCUACUCCUGGAACAUUGCCUCUGUGAUUCAUUAUGCACGACUCAAGCCAGCUACAUGAGAGAUCAUCUAACAACCGAUUAAGAAUCAUCACAAUUUUCUGCUCAUGUCAAUAAUCAGUACAGAUUGAUCCACAGGUUUGGCAAUGAAGAAUUUGAAACUUCUUUAUUGUUUUCCUAAAUUUGAUUUUGUGUGUAUUUAGAAGCAAAUUGAGCUAACAAUCAGCCACUGCGCAAACGAUAGGACUGAUCUUUUGCACCAACGUGACAAGUCAAUCUCUGUAUUCUACAAAUCUUGCAAUAUCAUGAAGUCCAGCCUCCUCAUAGCAUGCAGCAAUUCGCUCCAAAUAGUCAUCCCAAGUACCUUCGACAGAAGCCAAGUCCAGCAAAAAAGCUGCUUCAUCCAAUGCAAUCUGAGUAGGAUCCUUCCCCUUAUUGAGGUCCUCCUGCCUGCCUGCCUCUGUCACUCUUUCUUUAAUAUACUCAAUUUGUUCAUCAUCCCAUUCUGCUAUUUGAGCAACUUCCUGGUACCUGCAACCCAGAGUCCACCAUGGUGACUUCAGAGCUCCCCUGGCAGCAUCCUUGGCUUCUAGCUUACGCCCAACCCUAUAGAAAGCAAUAGAUGAUACAUAGAAUGCUAAAGCAAAGAAAAUACUGACCAAAUUUUUUACAAUAACAUUUUGUAGAAGCGAUAGGAAAAAUUCCACGAACUUCAGCAAAACUUCAGCAUUGAAUACAAACGGCCGUGCAAAUCCUGGAAAGUGCUCUUUCUUUGUAUAAAAUUCCCCCGUCACCAAAGCUGAAACCUUUAAAAGUACACAUUUAUGGACAAUAAACAAGCAAGCUCAGAAAUUCAUCUGUGUAAACAGUAACCACAGUCAUGUGAGUCUUACAUGGUCUCCUUUUUCAAAAUGACGCAUCACUUUGCGCUCUAGGACAUCCGGAAACAAACCAACCUGCAAAUAAACCAUUUGCAUAGGCUUCAUUCAGUAUCACUCUCUCAACUCUUUUUCUCUGUCUCAGCACCAUUCCAAGCAGUGAUUCUCAAUAUAUUUGACACUCCAUAGUUAGCAAUUCACAACAAAUUUGACAGAUUUUGCAUGAGCUGUAAGUUUCUUACAAUUCAAACUUUAAAUAUUGAAAGUAGAUUGAUAGCAAAUCAUCUUUUGGAGGCUUUUUUUUUCUCUGAUGCCCAAAUUUGUUGUUAGUCCAAAAAUUUUGAACUUGAUACUGUUGAUUCAUCAUUUCUCUCUCAAGUGCAUGGAUAAGAUUUUUAAGUUCAACGGCUUUUCUUAUUUUAAUUUUUUUUUUCGCUUUUAUUUGCAAUUUUUCCUUCAUCCUACUGUAAUACUUAUCAAAUUUGUUUGGAUAAAUUGUUGGGUGGAAGAAUAGAAGUUUUUGCAUCUAGAGGCUUCUGGCCUUUCUAUAAACCGUAAAAGAAUGAUUUUUUGUGAAGUCAUUAGCUAAGCAUGAGGGGCAUGUAAAUGGCCUGAGUAUGUCUCUUUGGCAGAACAUACAAGCAGUACGACAACAAUAUUAUUCAUUGUGGUUUUUCCUCCACUGUAGGGCAUGAACUAUGAAGUUGAAAUUUUGUAUUUAAAUGUUAAUUAACUAUUUAAAAGUUCAUGUUUGGUAUGUUUUGGAUGCAAAUGCAAAAGUAAGUAUUAUUAUUUUUUUAAUAUUUGAACUUAUUUUUUAUUGUGGAAGACAUAUAUGCAUUAUUCAUUAAUUUUAUUUUUU